CCCUUAGAUGUUCUGGGCCGCACGCGUGCUACACUGAGUGGAUCAGCGGGUCAGGUUGCGCGAAAGUGUUUCCUAAUCUUGAAAUCCGCUCGUGAUGGGGAUUGACGGUUGCAAUUUUCCGUCAUGAACGAGGAAUACCUUGUAAGCGCGGGUCAUCAUCCCGCGCUGAAUACGUCCCUGCCCUUUGUACACACCGCCCGUCGCUCCUACCGAUUGAGUGGUCCGGUGAGGCUUUGGGAUCUGAGCAAAAAGGGCGUUUCGCUCGUUUGGCUCGGAAAACUCAGUCGAACCUUAUCAUUUAGAGGAAGGAGAAGUCGUAACA
This 322-nucleotide ribosomal RNA is filed under the name uncultured eukaryote. Its description in RNAcentral is "partial 18S ribosomal RNA". It matches the Rfam family "Eukaryotic small subunit ribosomal RNA", at positions 1470 to 1796 of the family's 1831-position model. The record is from RNAcentral.